UUCAAAUGACAUUUAACAAGAUUACUGAGAUUCUGAGAUUGACAUCGUAAAUAUUUUUUAAAUACUUGAAAGUAUUCUCUGCUAUCGUUGUUCUGUGGCUAUCGUACGCAAGUAUGGCGGCGCCUAAAUACAGGUGUUGUGUGCUAUACUACUAUACUGUGAUGCAACAAGCUCCAAUUAUAGACUAUUUUGCAUGCCCUCAAAUGUUCAUUUAAGGAAUCUAUGGCUGUCGCUAUUGGUUCCGACCAGCCCUAAUUUACUAGGACUAACCGAGAACCAAUUGUUUUAAAAAAAUGUGUCUGUGAAAGACAUUUUGACGAGACUCAAUUCGAUAAAGCUGGUGUUAAAAUACGCUAUUCAUAUCCAUGUCUAUUCACGGAAAUGGAAAUUGCUCUAGGCAUACCUCUUGCUAGGGGUGGAUGACCAUAGUUACUGUCAGGGCUAUGAACAUGAAUCUGAUAAUUCAAUUGGUAAACCAGUUACCAUGACAGGGUCCUUGGCAUAGCGGAUACGUGUGGUACCGUUGUUGCCGGUGAUACCACGUGACACGAUUUUGUGGGUUGUCUGCUAGGACCCCAACAUCUACGAUAAAGAACUCCUCAACCUCUUCGGAUCAGUAUCGGGAUUCUUUCUUCUGGCCGAGCAAAAUUUUUUUAACCUCAGCUGACCUCGUGAUGGAGAUGGAGUCCUGGAAGUUGGACUACUGAACUCGAGAGACUGGCGGGUGAUCAUCCAGGGAGUUUCUGCCAAGCUAUGAGUCAUGGAGACCGCUAUGAUAAGUGACCACAGUUAACCUCCACCCACGUGUCAGAAAUAAUUCGAACCCACAGUGUAGUUUAAAUGAAUAUAUAGAAUGAAAUUAUGAAUAAAAUCUAGAAUUUAUUGAAGUACGGGGUAAAUUAUUGAAAUGGAUAGAAAGCUUUUUAAGACAAAGAACAUUUCGGGUGAAAAUUGGCAACUCAUUUUCUGAUGAAAAAGAAAUAUUGAGCAGCGUGCCCUAAGGUUCUGUGCUUAGUCCGGUCCUAUUUAUUAUUUAUAAGUUUGACUUUCCUAAGUGUUUGACAUGCAAUGUGAGCAUGAUUUGCUGAGGAUACAAAGAUUUUUGCAAAUCCCCUUAAAGCAUCUGAGCGUCUUCAGUCUCACUUAUCGCAAAUAACAAACUGGUCAAAUGAGUGGCUUCUUAAACUGAAUGUGGACCAGUGUAGUGUAUUACAUAUAGGUACUCGAAAUCCUCACCAGCCUUAUGAAAUAGAAGGAAUACUUUUAAAAAAAGUCAGCAAUCAAGUCGACUUGGGUAUACAUAUCACUGAAAACCUUAAAAGGGAGCACCACAUCGCAGCUAUAACUAAAAAGGCAAAUAGCUUCGUCUACAUCAUAAGGAAAGCUUUUGGACAUCUUACACCAUGCAUAGAUAUUCACUUCCAUCAACCAGCUAGAUUGAGGUUUGAUAUUCAGAAGCUAUAUCAAAACCUCAGAAAAUAGAAGUAUCCUCCAGUAUCGUUUCUGAGAUGAUAAACACGAAGAUUCUGAGACUCGAAUGAGCGCAGAGAUCACAAACAUUUUCAUUGUGACAGUCAUUUUACUGAUGAGGACACAGAGGAGCGGUUAUGAUCUAUGCAACGAAAUGAAAUGGAUCUAAAUUUUACUCAAUGUGCUUUACAACAUGAGAUAGUAAAUUUUUGUUUGUC
Melitaea cinxia (Glanville fritillary) is the source of this 1688-nucleotide long non-coding RNA. RefSeq lists it as uncharacterized. The record is from RefSeq and is a predicted model, not a curated record. Lineage: Eukaryota; Metazoa; Arthropoda; Insecta; Lepidoptera; Nymphalidae. The transcript has 5 exons.